Molecule: transfer RNA, 77 nt
Filed under: Sphaerimonospora mesophila
Lineage: Bacteria; Bacillati; Actinomycetota; Actinomycetes; Streptosporangiales; Streptosporangiaceae
Also listed under: 2 other names
Description: tRNA-Lys
Rfam family: tRNA
About the family: Transfer RNA (tRNA) molecules are approximately 80 nucleotides in length.
Source: RNAcentral
GGGCCUAUAGCUCAGUUGGUUAGAGCACGAGCCUCUUAAGCUUGGUGUCCCGGGUUCAAGUCCCGGUGGGCCCUCCA